This 560-nucleotide ribosomal RNA is filed under the name uncultured bacterium. Its description in RNAcentral is "bacterial SSU rRNA". It matches the Rfam family "Bacterial small subunit ribosomal RNA", at positions 338 to 918 of the family's 1533-position model. The record is from RNAcentral.
CCUACGGGAGGCAGCAGUGGGGAAUCUUGCACAAUGGAGGAAACUCUGAUGCAGCGAUGCCGCGUGAGUGAAGAAGGCCUUUGGGUUGUAAAGCUCUUUCGUCGGGGAAGAAAAUGACUGUACCCGAAUAAGAAGGUCCGGCUAACUUCGUGCCAGCAGCCGCGGUAAUACGAAGGGACCUAGCGUAGUUCGGAAUUACUGGGCUUAAAGAGUUCGUAGGUGGUUGAAAAAGUUGGUGGUGAAAUCCCAGAGCUUAACUCUGGAACUGCCAUCAAAACUUUUCAGCUAGAGUAUGAUAGAGGAAAGCAGAAUUUCUAGUGUAGAGGUGAAAUUCGUAGAUAUUAGAAAGAAUACCAAUUGCGAAGGCAGCUUUCUGGAUCAUUACUGACACUGAGGAACGAAAGCAUGGGUAGCGAAGAGGAUUAGAUACCCUCGUAGUCCAUGCCGUAAACGAUGUGUGUUAGACGUUGGAAAUUUAUUUUCAGUGUCGCAGGGAAACCGAUAAACAUACCGCCUGGGGAGUACGACCGCAAGGUUAAAACUCAAAGGAAUUGACGGGG